Lactuca sativa (garden lettuce) is the source of this 2100-nucleotide long non-coding RNA. RefSeq lists it as uncharacterized. NCBI's taxonomy places the organism in Eukaryota, Viridiplantae, Streptophyta, Magnoliopsida, Asterales, Asteraceae. The record is from RefSeq and is a predicted model, not a curated record.
CAUUUCUUUUUCAAAAAAAAAAAAAUUCUGCCCAACAGGUUGAUCUCUUUCAACUUCAGAUACAGCCACAAGCAGAUACAACAAGAAAAAUUGGAACUUCAAAUGGAGAUAAUCGGAACUUGAACAGCAACAAAUCAGAACUUCAGUAGGAAUAAAAUCGGAACUUGAACAGAAAAAUAUCGGAACUUGAACAACAAAAAUGGGUAAUUGAAGCAGCAAAAACGCAAUUGAUGUUGGUUUAAGGAGAAAAGUGACAGCCUCCUUCUGUUAGUCACGUCAACUAUGGACAAAAAGUAAACACUGAAACUUCACCAGCCAAACAAUUAUAAUACGAAAUUGAUAGAGAGAAGUAAGGGACAAAAAGAGCUAUAUUAUUAUUCAAUCAGAAGAGGCUAUAUAUAGCCUUCAUAGAUACCCAUGUGAACUACUUCUAGAAAUCAGGUACCGCAUAAUGCAGUCCACCUCUCUUUCGUCUCUCUAUCUCGUUCUCCACCUCCAACCCCUUCUAGAAAUCAGAUGAGACUUUUAUGACUUCCAUAGAAGCAAAGAUUUGUAGAGGUAGGAUGCUUAGUUCAAAUUGUGUGAAGGCCGAGGAUUGUAAGGGUAUGUGCAAAGAGAUUCAAUAUUAUGAAAGCACAUGUGAGAAAAUUGAUGGGACUCUUCGUUGUAUCUGUCAAAGGCCGUGUGGUUGAACAUAUGCUCUCUCAUUGAAUUGAAGUUACUUAUAAAACUAUAAUGCCAGCUGUCGUUUCUGAUGGUUUAUUAAUUUAAUAUCAAUAAAAUGUUUGUGGGUUUUACUUUUAGCAUACCAUACAACUGCCCAUGUUUAUCAAACUUGGUAUUCAAUAUACUCUUAUUAGCAUAUAAUGAGAUAAUGCUCAAAAUUCUCACGAGAGUUUGUUUUUUUUUUUUUUUCGGAAGCAUAAUAAUUAUGUGCGAGCGUAGGCAAAAUACAGAUGUACCAAAUAUGUUCAGGCUUUAGAUUUAGAUAAUAAUCUUUGUUUUAUGCUCAACAUCACAAGAAAAUGCAUAUGUUGUAGAUUUAGAUAAUAGUAGUGAUGCUUGGAAGUUGUUUCUAAAUGAUGAUGAUUGGGAGUUGUUUGCCUUUCUGAGUUUCUAAUCAGGUUAUGAUUAUCACUUGAAAACAAGUAAUUGUUUCUUUCUCUUUGAUCAUUUUAACAUUUUCCCCCUUACAAUUAACUACAACUAACUCUUUUUAUUGUCCGGAUAGUAUAGAACCUAAGCCUAUAGGGGAGUAAAACGGUAUAAAUUGGAAUCUUUGUAUUUUGUCCAAACUGAAUUCAGUUUCAUAAGGUAUUAUGGUGUUUUUCAGCCAAAAAAAAAAAAAAAGAAAACCCCCCGAAGCAGAUGCAUUUCAUAAGUCAUACGAUUGUCUUUGAGUUUCUUUCAUCUUUUUAUUAGGCCUUGUUUCUGUUUUCCCAUCAACUGUUGUUCAGACAUCCUUGGUGUGUUUGGUUUAUGGAAUCCGAAGGAACUGGAUUCUCAAAUUCCAUUCCGUGGCAUGUCAACGGAAUUCAAUUCUGGGAGAUUCCUCUAAAUCCAUGUUUCGGAUCAUUCCUAGGGGUGUCCGGUGAGUGAUGCGAUGCGAUCAGUAAGUUAGAGGAAUAAUGGAUUAUGGAAGAAAGGCGACUUCAAACUGACAACUAAGGGGUAAAAUGCUCACCGAUGCUUGUGGCAAAGCCAAAUCAAAGUGGUGUUGGUUACAUUUAAUAGUAUUAAUUUUAUAUAACACAAAAAUUGACGAUAUUACCCUUUGCUCCUGGGGCUCUUGGAGUAGGAGGAGGACCUUUGGUCAAUGGUCAAGGCGGGACUUUAAUGUUUUUAAAUUGGCAAUCUACAGUCAAUAUUCCAGCUUUAGCCCAAAUUGUUUUGGAGCCUGUUGGAAACCCUAGCGAGUGUUUAAUUUUGGAAAACAUGUUUCAUCCAUCUACCAAGUUCUCUUAUUAAUUAUUAAUUUAUCAGAUUAAACAUGUAUUUUUUUUUUUAAGUAUUCAUAGCGAUUUAAUUUGAGGUAUAUUUUACAACUUGACAUGUAAUUUGAUUUGGAUCACAUCAAAUACAAUACAACCUGUUUUCUUU